Molecule: long non-coding RNA, 1195 nt
Filed under: Sarcophilus harrisii (Tasmanian devil)
Lineage: Eukaryota; Metazoa; Chordata; Mammalia; Dasyuromorphia; Dasyuridae
Description: lncRNA (ENSSHAG00000032274.1)
Source: RNAcentral
GUGAAACAACAAAUCAUAGACACAAUUAAAAUUUCACCCAAAAGAAUGACAAUAAUGAGACGUCAUACCAAAAUAUGUGGGAUGCAGCCAAGGUAGUAAUAAGGGGAAAUUUUAUAUCUUUAGAAGCUUACUUGCAUAAAAUAGAGAAAGAGAAAAUCAAUGAAUUAGGCUUAUAACUAAAAAAGCUAGAAAAAGAGCAAAUUAACCCCCUCCAAUCAAACACUAAACUUGAAAUUCUAAAAAUAAAAGGAGAGAUCAAUAAAAUUGAAAGUAAAAAAAAACUAUUGAAUUAAUAAAUAAAACUAAGAGUUGGUUUUAUGAAAAAAAAUUAAAAAAUAAAAUGGUAAAUUUGAUUAGAGAAAGAAGAUUGGGUCAUCUCUGGUACCAACCUCUUCAGUAUGGAUUUUGCUUGUUUCCCUGAUGUUAUCAUAUCAUAUAUCAUUUUUCCUUUGCAUGACACAUGAGGGACUGAAGAGUUCAAGGUCCAAAUGUGGCUGGUUAUCCUCUGCUUCUGGUUAUGAAAAUAGAAACAUUGAAAAACUGGUUCUAAUUUUACAGCCAUCCUCCUGACAAUUUCAGGUGAAUGGAGUGGAGCCUCCAGCAAGUUGUGGGUUAGAAGCUGCUCCAGAAUCUGAAAUGCUGGAUGCUGGAAGCAUGCCAGAGUCUGGGUUCCAGAGACAUUCCAGGCCCAGGGCCAGUGGUAGCUGAAGCAUGGCUUGAUCCAGCAAUCAUCCAUCUAUCUGAGCAUAAACUGGCCGGAGGACUUAUUUCGCUUGUUACAGUACUGAAGAAUCUGAGAGUGAGAAGAGGAAAGGAUGGCCAAGAAAGGAUGGUCCAGAAAGAGGAAAGGAUUCCUUUCCCAGUCCAUAGGGGAAAGGAAUCCCUGCUCUAAUAUUCCCAGCACUUCGUUCUCCAGCCUCUGCUUGCAGUCCUUCAAGAAGCGAGACCCCCAUCACCUCUUGCUGUGGUCCACUGGACUCUUGGACAGUGCUCACGAUGAGAAAGCUUUUCCUGGGGAUGAGCCCAAAUUUGUCUGCAGUGAGGACUGGUUCUGCUCUCUGGGUCAACGUGAACAGAUUAAGGGGCUCCUCCUCCAUCCCACGGGCUUUCAGUUCUUGAAGACAAGCGGGCGCUUCCCCGCUAAACCUUUUCUCUCUCCUAGACCGUCCCGCUCCAGCUCAUCCUAAUGUCUUGG